GAUGUGGAUACCUACAUGAUAGAGUUCCACAAAUUAUCUUCAAGGUGCCGCCGACUUUAGGAGACAGACCAGCAACGGGUUAUGAGAUAUAUCAGCGGGCUAAGUACUGAGAUCCAACUAGAGUUGGCUAACACUGAUUUUAGGUCCGUUGAUGAGGCAGCAGCUUAUGCCAAGACAACUGAAGAGAACUCCUUUUAUCGGAAGGGUG
Long non-coding RNA from Telopea speciosissima, 208 nucleotides. RefSeq lists it as uncharacterized. The record is from RefSeq and is a predicted model, not a curated record. NCBI's taxonomy places the organism in Eukaryota, Viridiplantae, Streptophyta, Magnoliopsida, Proteales, Proteaceae. The transcript has 3 exons.